RNAcentral lists this ribosomal RNA (495 nucleotides) under uncultured bacterium. RNAcentral describes it as "partial 16S ribosomal RNA". It matches the Rfam family "Bacterial small subunit ribosomal RNA", at positions 28 to 507 of the family's 1533-position model. The record is from RNAcentral.
GAUGAACGCUGGCGGCGUGCCUAAUACAUGCAAGUAGAACGCUGAAGGAGGAGCUUGCUCUUCUGGAUGAGUUGCGAACGGGUGAGUAACGCGUAGGUAACCUGCCUGGUAGCGGGGGAUAACUAUUGGAAACGAUAGCUAAUACCGCAUGACAACAGUUAUUGCAUGAUAACUGUUUAAAAGGGGCAACUGCUCCACUACCAGAUGGACCUGCGUUGUAUUGGCUAGUUGGUGAGGUAACGGCUCACCAAGGCGACGAUACAUAGCCGACCUGAGAGGGUGAUCGGCCACACUGGGACUGAGACACGGCCCAGACUCCUACGGGAGGCAGCAGUAGGGAAUCUUCGGCAAUGGACGGAAGUCUGACCGAGCAACGCCGCGUGGGUGAAGAAGGUUUUCGGAUCGUAAAGCUCUGUUGUAAGAGAAGAACGAGUGUGAGAGUGGAAAGUUCACACUGUGACGGUAUCUUACCAGAAAGGGACGGCUAACUACGUG